Molecule: non-coding RNA, 148 nt
Filed under: Nomascus leucogenys (northern white-cheeked gibbon)
Lineage: Eukaryota; Metazoa; Chordata; Mammalia; Primates; Hylobatidae
Source: Rfam by way of RNAcentral
GCUGGGUGUGGUGGUGUACACCUGUAGUCUCAGUUACUUGGGAGGCUGAGGCAGGAGAAUUGCUUGAACCCAGGAGGUGGAGGCUGCAGUGAGCUGAGAUCGCACCACUGCACUCCAGCCUGGGCAACAGAGCAAGAUUCUGUCUCAA